Molecule: microRNA precursor, 115 nt
Filed under: Drosophila simulans
Lineage: Eukaryota; Metazoa; Arthropoda; Insecta; Diptera; Drosophilidae
Description: microRNA dsi-mir-955 precursor
Gene: dsi-mir-955
Rfam family: mir-955 microRNA precursor family (bases 15-95)
Source: miRBase by way of RNAcentral
UCUUUUUGGCCAGCUAAUCAACUCCAUCGUGCAGAGGUUUGAGUGUCCUGUGUUUUGCCUAAUCGCAUUCAAUUUCUGCACGGUAGAGAUGGUACGCUUAGAAACAACCUAAAGA